GACGAACGCUGGCGGCGUGCUUAACACAUGCAAGUCGAACGGAAAGGCCCUGCUUUUGUGGUUUGCUCGAGUGGCGAACGGGUGAGUAACACGUGAGUAUCCUCCCCUUGACUUUGUGAUAUCUUCACGAAACUGCGGCUAAUAUCGGAUAUGAGCUCCUGCUGCAUGGUGUGGGUUGGAAAGUUUCGGCGGUUGGGGAUGGACUCGCGGCUUAUCCGCUUGUUUGUGUGGUUGUGGCUUACCAAGGCUUUGACGGGUAGCCUGCCUGAGAGGGGGAACGGCGACAAUAGGACUGAGAGACGGAGCAGACGCCUACGGGAGGCAGCAGGGGGGAGUAUUGCAGAAUGGGCGGAAGCGAGAUGCAGCAACGCCGCGAGCGGGAUAACGGGCUACGGGUUGAAAACAGCUGUCGACGGUGACGAAGAGUGAGUGACGGUAAUGGGUAAAGAAGCAACGGCUAACUACGUG
This 468-nucleotide ribosomal RNA is filed under the name uncultured bacterium. RNAcentral's name for it is "partial 16S ribosomal RNA". It matches the Rfam family "Bacterial small subunit ribosomal RNA", at positions 28 to 507 of the family's 1533-position model. The record is from RNAcentral.